GUGCCAGCAGCCGCGGUAAUACGGGGGGAGCAAGCGUUGUCCGGAUUUAUUGGGCGUAAAGAGCGUGUAGGCGGCUUGGAAGGUCAGCUGUGAAAACUCGAGGCUCAACCUCGAGACGUCGGUGGAAACCGUUUGGCUAGAGUCCGGAAGAGGAGAGUGGAAUUCCCGGUGUAGCGGUGAAAUGCGCAGAUAUCGGGAAGAACACCCGUGGCGAAGGCAGCUCUCUGGGACGGUACUGACGCUGAGACGCGAAAGCGUGGGGAGCGAACAGGAUUAGAUACCCUCGUAGUCC
RNAcentral lists this ribosomal RNA (292 nucleotides) under uncultured bacterium. RNAcentral's name for it is "partial 16S ribosomal RNA". It matches the Rfam family "Bacterial small subunit ribosomal RNA", at positions 505 to 796 of the family's 1533-position model. The record is from RNAcentral.